This 460-nucleotide ribosomal RNA is filed under the name uncultured bacterium. RNAcentral describes it as "partial 16S ribosomal RNA". It matches the Rfam family "Bacterial small subunit ribosomal RNA", at positions 338 to 795 of the family's 1533-position model. The record is from RNAcentral.
CCUACGGGUGGCAGCAGUGGGGAAUAUUGGUCAAUGGACGAGAGUCUGAACCAGCCAAGUAGCGUGAAGGAUGACUGCCCUAUGGGUUGUAAACUUCUUUUAUAUGGGAAUAAAAUGUUCCACGUGUGGUCUUUUGUAUGUACCCUAUGAAUAAGGAUCGGCUAACUCCGUGCCAGCAGCCGCGGUAAUACGGGGGAUCCGAGCGUUAUCCGGAUUUAUUGGGUGUAAAGGGAGCGUAGGUGGAUUGUUAAGUCAGUUGUGAAAGUUUGCGGCUCAACCGUAAAAUUGCAGUUGAAACUGGCAGUCUUGAGUAAAGUAGAGGUGGGCGGAAUUCGUGGUGUAGCGGUGAAAUGCUUAGAUAUCACGAAGAACUCCGAUUGCGAAGGCAGUUCACUGGACUGCAACUGACACUGAGGCGCGAAAGUGUGGGUAGCAAACAGGAUUAGAUACCCGUGUAGUC